GUAUCACUUGACCCACCCGUUAUUUUCACGAGCUGGCCGAAUACGGGUAAUUAUUAUCGUAUCCACCCGUGCGGGUAUGAGUCCAGUUUGCCAGGUUACUCUAGGCAUGCAGGAGUUGAAAGAGAUUGGAAUUAGAAAUAAAAAUCUAGGACUUUAAGUGUGCCACGACAGGGGGCUAUCCUCUAUCUUGCCACCUUCGAACGCAAGAGCUUUUCCCACGCGUCGUAGCCAAAUGGUCCUCAUGUUACUUGGCCAAGGUAUAAGUCCAAGGUUCAAGUCAUGGGGGAGGCGUUCGCAGGGUAGAAAAAAAUACCAUGAAGCGAAGCAAAGCCAUGAGGGUCCGAAGGAGGCGUGGCCAGAAGGACCCAUAGUGGACAAUACCUUGGACGUGUCCGGCGUGCGAGGAAAGCCCUUGAGCCAAAGUGGCGAGAUAGAUGAUAGCCCUCGGUCGUGACAAAGUGGUUUUAUACUUUUAUUUUAUUGAAACAUGUCUAGGCUUGCUCAAUAUAAAUUCUUUUUUAUAUUUUAAUAGAAGACCAAAUUUAUGCUUUCUUGAUUAA
Molecule: long non-coding RNA, 560 nt
Organism: Pistacia vera
Lineage: Eukaryota; Viridiplantae; Streptophyta; Magnoliopsida; Sapindales; Anacardiaceae
Exons: 2
Source: RefSeq, a predicted model, not a curated record